This 148-nucleotide ribosomal RNA is filed under the name Paenibacillus sp. 3LSP. RNAcentral describes it as "partial 16S ribosomal RNA". It matches the Rfam family "Bacterial small subunit ribosomal RNA", at positions 1386 to 1533 of the family's 1533-position model. Lineage: Bacteria; Bacillati; Bacillota; Bacilli; Caryophanales; Paenibacillaceae. The record is from RNAcentral.
CACACCGCCCGUCACACCACGAGAGUUUACAACACCCGAAGUCGGUGAGGUAACCGCAAGGAGCCAGCCGCCGAAGGUGGGGUAGAUGAUUGGGGUGAAGUCGUAACAAGGUAGCCGUAUCGGAAGGUGCGGCUGGAUCACCUCCUUU